RNAcentral lists this long non-coding RNA (743 nucleotides) under Heterocephalus glaber (naked mole-rat). RNAcentral describes it as "lncRNA (ENSHGLG00100047313.1)". The record is from RNAcentral. Lineage: Eukaryota; Metazoa; Chordata; Mammalia; Rodentia; Bathyergidae.
CAGCUUUUAUAAACCUGUAGGUUUAUGUAUCUUGCAAAACCUGGGACAUUUUCAGCCAUUGAUUUUUCAAGUUCCCUCUCAGCCCUGUCUUCUCUCUCUUUUUCUUUCAAGACGCCAAUGACAUGAAGGAUCUAGAGGACCAGGAGUAACAAGGAGCAAGAAUUAUCAUCUUGAAGAUGACCAACUGUAGAAGUACCCCUGUUAUUUCCUAUAGAAGAAAGACAUCCCCCGAAUGAAGGAUGAGAAGCAUAAACCGCUUUCACUUCUCAAAUGUCAAUUCCAGAAAUAAAUGAGCCAUCACAAGCAGAGUUCCUUGCAAGGCUGAGCCCAGGCACACCUGUCAAGGGGAUGUUUCCGGUGGCACUUUCAGCUUUCUCCAGCCUUGCCACACCUGGUGGGCUCUGCUCUCUGCUCCACACAGGCACUCUACUGUUCCUUCUAUCAACUCCUUCUUUCAGGAAAAGAGCUGGAUGUUAUCUUUACUGGGACCAAGGCUGGGUCACAGCUGACAGCUUGAAGUUUCCUACUUAAUAGGUUUCUUUAAAGACUAAAAAUGGCUGAAAGCCAUAACUAGGUGAACGCCUGCUGGCUGAGGUCAAGCAUUAGCUGGUAGGUAAAGGGGGACAUUAUUCAGGCAGGAAAAUAUUGCCAGUGUCCCUGAAAUUCCUACACAGAGCUGCUGACCGGGCCCUUCAUAAGGAUAUGGAUGGACAAGUAAGCAUCUUCCACGAGCACACACCUGC